This 522-nucleotide ribosomal RNA is filed under the name uncultured bacterium. RNAcentral's name for it is "bacterial SSU rRNA". It matches the Rfam family "Bacterial small subunit ribosomal RNA", at positions 355 to 896 of the family's 1533-position model. The record is from RNAcentral.
UGGGGAAUAUUGCACAAUGGGCGAAAGCCUGAUGCAUCAACGCCGCGUGAACGAUGAAGGUCUUCGGAUCGUAAAGUUCUGUUGCAGGGGAAGAUAAUGACGGUACCCUGUGAGGAAGCCCCGGCUAACUACGUGCCAGCAGCCGCGGUAAUACGUAGGGGGCUAGCGUUAUCCGGAUUUACUGGGCGUAAAGGGUGCGUAGGUGGUCCUUCAAGUCGGUGGUUAAAGGCUACGGCUCAACCGUACUAACCCGCCGAAACUGGAGGACUUGAGUGCAGGAGAGGAAAGUGGAAUUCCCAGUGUAGCGGUGAAAUGCGUAGAUAUUGGGAGGAACACCAGUACCGAAGGCGGCUUUCUGGACUGCAACUGACACUGAGGCACGAAAGCGUGGGUAGCAAACAGGAUUACAUACCCUGGUAGUCCACGCUGUAAACGAUGAGUACUAGGUGUCGGGGGUUACCCCCCUCGGUGCCGCAGCCUACGCAUUAAGUACUCCGCCUGGGGAGUACGCACGCACGUGUG